RNAcentral lists this ribosomal RNA (435 nucleotides) under Macrococcoides caseolyticum. RNAcentral's name for it is "bacterial SSU rRNA". It matches the Rfam family "Bacterial small subunit ribosomal RNA", at positions 21 to 443 of the family's 1533-position model. Lineage: Bacteria; Bacillati; Bacillota; Bacilli; Caryophanales; Staphylococcaceae. The record is from RNAcentral.
GGCUCAGGAUGAACGCUGGCGGCGUGCCUAAUACAUGCAAGUCGAGCGAACGGACAGGAGUGCUUGCACUCCUUGAAGUUAGCGGCGGACGGGUGAGUAACACGUGGGUAACCUACCUAUAAGACUGGGAUAACUUCGGGAAACCGGAGCUAAUACCGGAUAAUAUAUACCUCCGCAUGGAGGAAUAGUCAAAGACGGUUCUGCUGUCACUUAUAGAUGGACCCGCGGUGUAUUAGCUAGUUGGUGAGGUAACGGCUCACCAAGGCAACGAUACAUAGCCGACCUGAGAGGGUGAUCGGCCACACUGGGACUGAGACACGGCCCAGACUCCUACGGGAGGCAGCAGUAGGGAAUCUUCCGCAAUGGACGAAAGUCUGACGGAGCAACGCCGCGUGAGUGAAGAAGGUUUUCGGAUCGUAAAACUCUGUUGUAAGG